GACGAACGCUGGCGGCGUGCUUAACACAUGCAAGUCGAACGCUGAAGCUUGGUGCUUGCACUGGGUGGAUGAGGGGCGAACGGGUGAGUAAUACGUGAGUAACCUGCCCUUGACUCUGGGAUAAGCCUGGGAAACGGGGUCUAAUACUGGAUACGACAUGUCACCGCAUGGUGGUGUGGGGAAAGGGUUUUACUGGUUUUGGAUGGGCUCACGGCCUAUCAGCUUGUUGGUGGGGUAAUGGCUCACCAAGGCGACGACGGGUAGCCGGCCUGAGAGGGUGACCGGCCACACUGGGACUGAGACACGGCCCAGACUCCUACGGGAGGCAGCAGUGGGGAAUAUUGCACAAUGGGCGGAAGCCUGAUGCAGCGACGCCGCGUGAGGGAUGACGGCCUUCGGGUUGUAAACCUCUUUCAGCACGGAAGAAGCGAAAGUGACGGUACGUGCAGAAGAAGCGCCGGCUAACUACGUG
This 472-nucleotide ribosomal RNA is filed under the name uncultured bacterium. RNAcentral describes it as "partial 16S ribosomal RNA". It matches the Rfam family "Bacterial small subunit ribosomal RNA", at positions 28 to 507 of the family's 1533-position model. The record is from RNAcentral.